Non-coding RNA from Rattus norvegicus (Norway rat), 9776 nucleotides. Lineage: Eukaryota; Metazoa; Chordata; Mammalia; Rodentia; Muridae. The record is from RefSeq and is a predicted model, not a curated record.
GGGGAGAGAGAUCUGUCCACUGAGAACAAGAUGUUGGGAUAGGGAGCAAAGACAGAGUCUGGCUCCUACUCUCUCUGCUCCCAGAGUUCCAAGAGUGAACUCUACAGUUCAUAGAACUUAUUUGAGGAAUCCGAGAAUAGAGAGGGUCAUUGUCAUAAUGGGUUCCUGGCUUUUGUAGGUCCCCCAAACUUCAGCACAACUGACUCCAUGAUGGCAGUACCAUUCAGGCCAUAAAACUCAGCAUGUAGACAGCACCACCAGCCAAAACAAAAACAAAGACCUAAUCCAUCAAUGCCCAUAGAUCUUGGAAAGUCCCUAAAUGUACUAAUCUUGCUUUUUGGCUUCUGUAGUUCCACUUCUAGCUAACUGUUCUUGUUAACUGAAGUAUGUCGAGCCAAGAUAUGGACUUUGUUCUUUAAAGCUCGCCCUGAGAAAGACUCAGUGCUACACUGGGAUCCUGACCAGGUCUUCCAGUUCAUCAGGACUGGGGAGAGAGCUCAGCAGGUGAAAGGAAACACGCGUAAGUAUGAGAACCCAGGUUCAAAUCCCAAACCCAUGCAAAAACGCAGCCCUGCAGCUCUGGUGCUGUGGUGGGGCUGAGACAGACAGGUUUCCUGAGAUUUUCUGGUAGGUGGCCUAGCUCCAGGGUCAGAAGGAGACCCAGUCUCGUGGAAAUGAAAGCAGGACACAGGGUGUCUCUCCUCUGGCCUCUGUGUAUAAGGUUACAUGCCCAUACCACACAGAUGUACGCUACAGGCUUCCGGAUGUACACAUACCCCCCACACACACACACACACAUACACAGAACCCAUCCAUUCAUGCUGUUAGGUGAAUUCACAGAGGUGAAGGGGAAGACAAGCAGGUCAGUGAGGAAAAGAUAGGCUGAAACACUGUUGCAAUCUCCACAGUUAAAAAAAAACAAAAAAAAAACAAAAAACUUGGGCAGGAAGCAGUGAUCGCUGAAUCUAGAGAUAAUGUCUGCUAAGGGACAGGUAUUUCCUCAGUCCGUUUGUGUUUCUCAGGAGACAGCUUUUCCAUUUGCAAGGAGAAAAUUGUAGGUAUUUAGUGGAGAAACCAGAUAACACGUGGAUCAGGUGGUCAUCUAUCUUUAACCGCUCCAGGGGCAGUUGGACACCUCCAGCUAAGAUGCGGAAAGAAGCCAUUGUGUGGGCACCACUUGGCUUACCUCCUCCCAGGGGACCCCAGACCUCCAUCAAGGCAUGAGGAAGCACCAGGCUGCAACAGCUAGGGAACAGCUCUCAAACCAACUGACCCCGGUUCUUUAAACUGCAGUGUGGGGAUAGAGAGGGUUGAGAAGAUGAGGGACGAGGGAGGGCAUGGGAGAUGGCAGGUGCAGUGUAUGAAGGCCCCUGGUGGAAGAAGAGAACCCUGGCUUCCUGCAUGGUGUCCUCUGUCAUAUGCUUCAUGUCUGUGUACCACAUGAAUGUCUCAUACCCACAGAAGCCAAAAGAAGAGAUCGGAUUAUCUAGGAUUGGAAUUAUAGGUGGUUUAUGUGCUGCCUGGUGGGAAAAUUGAAGCCAGGUCCCCUGGAAGAUGAACUGCUGAAAGAGCUCUCCAGGCCCUGAUUCCUGAUCUCUUCUGUGUGUGAGAGUGGGGCGGGGCAGGUCCUGAAGUACAUACAGAGGCCAGAGGCCAACCCCAGGUAUCAUUCCUUUGGAGCCAUCCACCCUUUCUCUCUUCCUCCCUUCUCUCCUCCCUCCCUCUCUCCCUCCUUCCUCCUUUCCUUUCCUCCUCCCUUUCAUCACUAUGUGUGUACAUGUGUACCUGUGUGCACACAUGUUGGAGGUCAGAGAAUGACUUCAGGGUGAGUGCCUGCUCUCUAUCUUGUUUGAAAUAGGCUCUCCUGUUCCCCGCUUUGCUCAAUCUGUAACGGACAUGAGCAGUCAGUUGGGAUAGCUCAUUGCUUUGGGCCCGGUGUUUGUUCGUGUGUAUUUUAUGCCUCUAAGCCCUACGAGGACCCUCCUGUCUUUAUUCCCCCACAUCCCAGUAGGAACUCUGGGUUUUAUGUGGAUUCUGAGGAUCUGAACUCUGAUCCUUAAGCUUCCACUGCAAGUGCUUAAUCCACUGAGCCAUUACCCCAGUCCUCAUCUUGUUUUGGGGGACAGGAUCUCUCUUUAGGUCCUGGGGCUGGCCAGUGAGCCUCAUAAAUCUGCUUGCCUCAGCCUCCCCAGCACUGGGAUUACAAGUACUGGGCUAUUCUUCCCAGUUUCUUAUCUAUGGGUUCUGGGUACUGAACUCGGAUGCCCAUGCCAUCCCUCCAGCGACUGCAACUACCACUCUAGUGAAUAUCGUCCUCUCAGCCCGAUGGCUCUUGUCCCUGGUGUCACCUGAGGAUUUUUUUCCUAAAGUAUCCAGCAUAAAAAAUGAGCUAUGGUGUCCACUCUUGCUGAGUUACCUAACUGGAUAAAGAAAGCGGGUGGGGGAGUUCUGAGUACUAGAGUGAGUUUCUACCACUGAUAGGGAGUAAUUUCCAGAGGAAGGAAAUAAUGUAGACAUACUAGUCAUAAAGAUGGGCCACAGGUGAUUUUACGGAUAGUUCCCUGAGAGAAUAUUUCCUGUGGGCAUCUUGACUUUACCUGCGUGCACACUGUGACGGUUGCACAGAGGUGGAAUCACUUGAGACACUGUUCUCACCUGAGAACUGCCUCUGUGAUCCCAGCCCUUUGGAGGUGGAGGAUCAGGAUUUCAAGGCCAUUCGUGUACACGGCCAUACACAGAGAGUUUAAGGCCAGCCUGAGCUAUACCAGACCCAAAUUAACCCCCUUCCAAACAAGACAUUUUCCUCAGAACAUUCCUGUAGUCUUAGGGAGUUAAGUAGUAUGUGAGUGCAGUGUCAGAUCCUGCUCUGAAGGAGGCUGAAAACUUUUUCUCCUCUCUUGAUUCAAUUAUUUGUUUUGGUUGUUUUUUCUUUUUUUAAAGAUUUAUUAGGGGCUGGGGAUUUAGCUCAGUGGUAGAGCGCUUACCUAGGAAGCGCAAGGCCCCAGGUUUGGUCCCCAGCUCCGAAAAAAAGAACCAAAAAAAAAAAAAAAUUUAUUUAUUUAUUUCAUGUAUUGAGUACACUGUAGCUGUCUUUAGAAACACCAGACGAGGGCAUCAGAUCCUAUUACAGAUGGUUGUGAGCCACCAUGUGGUUGCUGGGACUUGAACUCUGGAGGAGCAGUCAGUGCUCUUAACUGCUGAGCCAUCUCUCCAACCCCCCUUGCUUAGUUUUUUUUUUUCAAGACAGGCUUUCUCUGUAUAGCCCUGGAACCUGCUCUGUAGGCCAGGCUAGCAUUGAACUCAGAGAUCUGUUUGCCUCUGCCUCCUGCAUUGAUUCAGUUCCUUCUACAUAUUUUACCCAUUUUGCAUGCCCGGGGAUCAGACUCUUCGCCUGUGCACAUAGCAAGCACUCCACACAGAGCUAGAUCUCUAGCACCAACAGCCGAUUUCUGGUCUUUCAGUUCUCUAUUCCUCAUGACUCAGUGGUCACAAGUGCCCCACAGGGCAUUGGCAGAGAUAACCCAGGGCUAAAGGCUCCUUUUCAAGAUAGGUUCCAUACACGGCCAGUUGCCUGAAAGCUCAGCGAGAGUUAUGGUACACAGCCCUCUCACUCCCUGUCCACAAGAGCUUCCCACAGGGCACUGCAUUGCCUUACAACUUCUUGACUGUCGUCCUAGAGUCAGCAUCCUGAGAGAACAAAGCAGACAGGUGUGUGUUUUCAUAGUCUAACCCCACACAUUGUGUAGCCAAUUUUCCUUACACCGCCACAGCUUGAGGCAGUCUCAGGGGCUGCUAUGGCUUCAAAAAAACGGGAAAUAGAAAUCACACCUCUUGAUUUGGGAAGGAUAUAAGGGAGUGAAAGAGUCUAAGCAUAUAGACUCGGUCACAAGUCUUUGGUUUUGAGAAAUAGCAUAGAAAGAUGUGGUUAAUAGGCUUCAAGUUGAAUACAGGCACAUACAGUUGACUCUCUGCCUUUGCAGGUUUUGAAUCUGCAAAUUUAGCCAUUGUCCAACUAAAGAGCAUGGGAAAGAAAUUAAGUUCUUAUCAUUAUUCCCUAACAAUGCAUUAUGGCAGGUUUGUACUUGGCGUUGACAUUUUAUUAGGUACUAGAAGUAACCAGAGGGCUGGGGAGAUGACUCAGCAGGGAAAAGCUGUGGCCAUCCAACCCUGAAAACUUGAGGUAUAUCUGUAGAUCUCAUGAUGAAAAGAGAGAGCCGUCUCUCCAAAGUUGUCCUCUGACCUCCACACAUGUAUCAUAGCAUAUACACAGGAAGGGAGAGGGACACACACACACACACACAGAAAGACAGCCGGAUACAGAGACAGACAGACAGACAGACAGUCGCCCUAGGAUUGUACCCUUUGAAGAGGAGUGCUGCCCUGUGGCGGGCAAUGCAUGGGGAGAAACAGAGAGCUGGAGAGGACACAACAGAAAACUAGUGAUGUCAGCUAAGGACAGUGGCCAUGGGAAGUUGGCAGAUGUCAUUUGUUCCUGCCAUAGCACAUUUAUAGAAAUGAGGCUAAAUAAAGUAUGGCGACAGUUGGAGAUGUUUGCAUUGCUGCAGAGUAAGCAAAAGUGGCUGUAAGGGAACACGUGGAUUACAUUUGUACAGGAAGACGAUCGACAGGAAGAGAAAACAGGAGCCAACACCUCACUCAACAGGCAGAUCCACGGAGGCAGGAAGUAGAAGAGGGUGUGCUGGGGUGGGUGGGGGAAACAUCUGCUAGUGGAUAUGCAUUUGGGGAGAAGGGGGAAUGAUGAAAGUGGUCUUAAUUGUUGGGGUGAUGGCUUAUAAUUUUGUGAAUAUACCAAGAGCCACUUGUACCAUUUGGAGGAACUCUGCGGUAUGUGGGUUAUGUCUCAGUAGAGCUGACAUUUUAAAAGGCAAACAUGGGACUGAAUACAAAUGCAAAUACACACCCAUAUAAAUUAAAAACAAUCUGCUUCGUAGAACAAAUAACAUAUGACCGCAGCAGUGUUAAUCUACAUCCCUGUGCUAAUUCCCACAUCCUGUGACUCCUGCGGAUUUCUUCUGUGUCUUUCUGUGCCUCAUCCAGCUUGACUCCAGGGGUGGGCCUGACUGAGUUGAGAGAAUGUAGAAAAGACAACCAUAUAAACACAGAGAAAAGCUGCAGUCAGGUGGGGACUGGGCUCCCUAAGAUGAAGACCUCUCAAGAGUCCACAGUCUCGGUGUGUUUAUUAUACACAGGCGAACAGGGAGCUGAGGAGACUGCAGACAGCUGAACAUGGAAGGCGGCAUGUGUGGCCAGCCUCGGUAGGAGCAGUCUCUGUUGGGGAGCAGUCUUAAAACCACAGGGCUGAAAGGUGAGGGGCUGGGGAAGAAAGCCACUGUGUACAUUUUCUGCACGCAUUAUCUACAUCUGCAGUCAGACCAGAAAGGAAGGCCUUGCCAUUUCUUAUAGUUCUGAGGCACUGGGAACCAUGGCAUGGCUGUGUCACCAACACACUUCAAAUAGCCAUCACAGGUGUUUACCCCAUGAUCUGUCUCUCAGCUGAUUCCAGAUCCACUUACGGUGACAAUGAAGAUUUGACAUCAUAGUUUUUUAAAAACUCACCUUGAGUAGGUUACAAUUACAAGGCCAUAUUAAUGUAUUACCUUAUAACAUGUCAUUUGUGUUUAUUUUUUGGUAUUGAUUACAUUUAUUAAAGGCAUCUGCAGCUUUAAUCCUGCAAUCCUAAGCACCCCUUGGUAUCCUAUGGUCUGACAGCUUCAGUGAACAGUACCCCUUACAACAACGGCAGACACUGAGAUGUUCUGCUGUUCUUUUUUGUUACUUGGUAUUCCCCUUCAUUAAAAAUAGAUUUUUUCCCAUAAAAUAUAUCCAGAUUACCGUUUUUCCCCUCCUUCUACUCCUCUCAGUUCCUCUCCCACCUCCUCUCCAAUCCAGAUUCACUCCCUUUCUUCGUCUCUCUAGAAAAGAGCAGGUUUCAAAGAGAUAACAACAAAUCAUAAUAGAAAAUAGAAUAAGAUAAAACAACGACGACAACAAAAAAUCAACAACAAAUCGUGUUGAAGUUGGACGAGAUAACCCAGCAGAAGAAACAGAUUCCCAAGAGAAAGCACAAGAAUCAGAGAUCCCCUCCUUCACACACCGAGGAGUCUCAGAAAAAAUACUCAGCCGAAAAGCUCUAAUGCAUACGCAGAGGACCUGGCUAUGCACACCCGAGUCAGCCUUUGCUGUAGCUUCAGUCUGUGUGCGUUCACUUGAGCUUUGCUCACUUGAUUCAGAGGGCCUCUGUCCCCUCUGGUUCUGACACUCUUUCUGCCUCCUCUGCCAUGGGGCUCCCUGAGCUCCGAGGGGAGGGGUUUGAUAGAUCGAUGCCAUUUAGAGCUGUGCGUUACAAGCUCUCUCUCCUUUUCUCUCUGCAAAGUGUGGCUCCCUGUAUUUGCUCCCGUCUGCUGCAGGAGAAAGCAUCUCUGAUAAUUAUCUCCAGCCUUUUACUCCCUCAAACAGUGCUGAGGCGUUAAACACCUUUAUAUGCCAUUUCACACAUAGGCAGAUCGGUCCAGGGUAUGUGUACAAGGAGAGGAAGUGCAAUGUUUUAUAUUUCUACCUGAAAUGGAUAACAGUUCUGAUUUCCUGCCUUUUUUUUUUUUUUUUUUUUUUUUUUUUGGUUGUGAGCCUAGCCUUUAACGGCUGAGCCAUCUCUCCAGCCCUUUUUUUUUUUUUUUUUUUUUGAAAAGAAAAUGCCUCCAUAACAUGAGGCUGUACUGGGGCUGGAGAGAUGGCUCAGAGUUAAGAGCACUGGUUGCACUUCUGGAGGACCUGGGUUCAAUUCCCAGCACCCACAUGGCGGCUCACAACUGUCUGUAACUCCAGGAUCCAACACCCUCACACAGACAUACAUAUAGACAAAACACCAAUGUGCAUAAAAACAAUUAGAACUUAAAAAAAUAAAUCAGGCUGUACACAAUCUUGUAUGACAUUUCCUUAAUUAGUGAUGGAUUGUGGGUGGUGCCAUCCCUGGGCUGGAGGUCCUGGGUUCUAUGAGAAAACAGGCUGAGCAAGCCAGGAGAAGCAAGACAGUAAGCAGCACUCCUCCAUGGCCUCUGUUUCAGCUCCUGCCUCCAGGCUUCUGCCCAGUUUGAGUUCCUGUCUUAAUUUCCUUUAAUGAGGAGUAAUGAUAUGGAAGUGUAAGCCAGAUAAACCCUUUUCUCUCAAGUUGUUUUGGUCAUGGUUGCAUGGUCACAGCAAUAAAAACCUUGACUAAGACAGUUGGUUAAUAUCCUAUUUGCCACAUGUUGGCUUUGUGACUUUCUCCAUGUUAGAGUUACUGCUUUGUAUAAAAUCAGACAUAUUAUUAUAGAUGUUAGUUGUUCUGGAUUUUGGGUAAUGUCUGUGUCUGUGAUGUGAUGUGCACGCAUGCCAGGUGCUCCUGUGUAGGGCAGAGGGACAACCUUGUGGAGUCUGUUCUGUCUGCCUUCGCAUGGGUAGUGGGUCCCUUUGACUCACCGAAUCAGCUCACUAGCCCAAGACUUCAUCUCUAAGGUCAUAAAACAAUCCAAUCACAGCGUUCUAUGCCACAUUUAUGACUUCCUUACCAAGAGCUUUGAAAUAUUUAUUAAAAUUAAAAGUUGAACUGGGCGGUGGUGGCACAUGCCUUUAGUCCUAGCACUCAGGAGGCAGAGACAGUUCUUUGUGAGUUUGAGGCCAGCUUUGUCUACAGAGCGAGUUCCAGAGCAGCCAGAGAUACGCAGAGAAAACUUAUCUCAAAAAACAAAACAAAAAAAUUCAAACUGUAACCAACGAAACAAAAAAAAAAAAAAAAAAAAAGAAAGAAAGAAAAAUGAGAUAGGAUAUGGCCCCAUGCCUGCAGUCACUCUAGGGAAACUGUGUUGAUUAGCUUUACUCAUUGUUGCAACAAAACAUUUGACAAAAACAGCCUAGGAAAGAGGGGAAGGUUUAUUUUCACCUACAGUUCUAGCUGAAAGUCCAUCCUGGCAGGGACAGCAUGCCAACAGCCUUGUGAGGCAGCUGGUCCCACAGCGGCCACAGUCAGGAAGCAGAGAGGAGGGAAUGCUGAAGUCAGCACACGUUGUCCUUCUUACUGAGGUAUUUCCACCUCAGGGAGCUUAAUCCGGAAACUCCUUCAAAGACAUGCCCAGAGGUUUGCCUGCUGGGCCAUUCCUCUCAAAUCAAAAUCAAACACCACAGAGGCUAGGGCAGAUCACCGUCUGAGGCUAGCUGAACCGUACAGCAAGAUCCGUAUUUCUUAAAAAAGUAGGAAAAAAAAGAAAAAAAAAAAGGAAAACAGCUAGCAGUAUUUCAGGUAAAUACUGAAGUCGAGUUGGUUUCCUGUUGUAAUCCUCUAGCAGUAGGAAGGAGGUUUGUUUUGGUUUCUAUUCUGGAGCCUGGGAGGUUUGAGAUUCGUCGCCUGAAUCUGCAUCAGGUGACAGAAGCAGUCCUGACAGUGAGGAAGAGACAAAGAGACAAAGGGUCGGACAUUUUACAGCUCAUUCUUGGAAACUCUGAAAAGUUCUUGUAAAAAAAACAAACUAAUUAUCACAAGGAACACAUCAGUUUCUCAAGACCCUGCCUCCCAACUCUAUUAUGUCACUAAAACAAAUUUCAACAUGAAUUUUGCUGAGGACAAACCAUUCCGAGCCCCAGCAGCUUAUUGGGAAUAUGUCUAGCAAUAUUUAACACUAGCAUGUGAAGACUUUCAUAGAUAGCAGGCACUGCAUACAAGCAAAGCGUAACCAGCUCCUUUAAAAUACUUGACAUACAAUCAUGGGGACUAGAGUGUGGAUCCCCAGUGUCUAGAAUGAUGGCCUGCCUAUAAUCCCAACACUCAGACGGUAGAGACAGGAGAGUGCUAGAGCAAGCCAGCCUAGGCAGACUAGCCAGACCAGUGAGGUCUGGGCUCAAGUGAAAGAACCUGCCUUACUAUAUAUAAUGAAGAAGAAUUGAAGAAGACACCUGAUAUCAGCCCCUGGCCUUCACCGAGCUUGCUCUCAUGUGUAUGCACAUGAGCCUGCAUAUACACAUGUGUGCACUCAAGCGCGCACACACGUGCGCACACACACACAUACACACAUGCAAAAAUAAGUGUUAAACACUUUUAAACCUUUAACCAGUUAUCUUGUAUAUUAGGAUUAAUAUUGUUGUGCUAUCAGGUGAUUUUGGGGGUGGGGUGGGGCUGGAAUUCAUUAUGACACCUAGGCUGGUUUUGAACUUAUGGCAGUCCUCCUGCCUCAGCUCUCAAGUCCAGAAUACAGACAUGAGUCACCACACCCAGCUUGCUGUCAGGUAAAUCCUGAAAUGUUUGAAGAUUUGAAUUCGGGCAGUCUUAGAAAGGAAAAGAGGAGUUCAUCUCGUUUCCACUCAGUGCAUCUGGACUCACCCUGGGGUCUGUUUUGAUGAAUAAAAUGUAGCAGCCUGGGGUCUGUUUUGAUGGAUAAAAUGUAGCGGCAGCAGUUACUUCUACACAACUUUUGAGGCUUGCGAGUUCUCUUCUGGGAACUCAAAUGAGGCCAACCUACUCUAGGCAUAAGGGUUAGCCUAUAGCCAUCAUUCUCUGUGGGUGAGGUCAAGUUCAUAUCAAGGUCAAGCAAAACGCAGCUGUGAGCGUGACUCUCAGACCCCAGCAAGCUGCCUGGUUGAUUCCAGCCCAAGCUACCAAACCACAGAAGAGCAAGCAACUAAAUUAAGCAUUAUGAACCACUAAUUUAAAAUAUGGUUUGCAGUAAAUAAGUCCAUAAAAUUUUCUAGGGAGUUAUUGAAUUAAAAAAAAAAAAAGAAAUAAAAAGGAA